Molecule: ribosomal RNA, 28 nt
Filed under: Cycnoches sp. SRR-2011
Lineage: Eukaryota; Viridiplantae; Streptophyta; Magnoliopsida; Asparagales; Orchidaceae
Description: partial 18S ribosomal RNA
Source: RNAcentral
AGUAGGUGAACCUGCGGAAGGAUCAUUG